Molecule: ribosomal RNA, 429 nt
Filed under: Chloroflexota bacterium
Lineage: Bacteria; Bacillati; Chloroflexota
Description: Chloroflexi bacterium partial 16S ribosomal RNA
Rfam family: Bacterial small subunit ribosomal RNA
Source: RNAcentral
UGGGGAAUAUUGCACAAUGGGCGCAAGCCUGAUGCAGCCAUGCCGCGUGUGUGAAGAAGGCCUUCGGGUUGUAAAGCACUUUUAGCGGGGAGGAAGGUGGUGAGGUUAAUAACCUCAUCGAUUGCCGUUACCCGCAGAAGAAGCACCGGCUAACUCCGUGCCAGCAGCCGCGGUAAUACGGAGGGUGCAAGCGUUAAUCGGAAUUACUGGGCGUAAAGCGCACGCAGGCGGUCUGUCAAGUCGGAUGUGAAAUCCCCGGGCUCAACCUGGGAACUGCAUUGGAAACUGGCAGGCUAGAAUCUUGUAGAGGGGGGUAGAAUUCCAGGUGUAGCGGUGAAAUGCGUAGAGAUCUGGAGGAAUACCGGUGGCGAAGGCGGCCCCCUGGACAAAGACUGACGCUCAGGUGCGAAAGCGUGGGGAGCAAACAGG